RNAcentral lists this ribosomal RNA (466 nucleotides) under uncultured bacterium. RNAcentral's name for it is "partial 16S ribosomal RNA". It matches the Rfam family "Bacterial small subunit ribosomal RNA", at positions 28 to 507 of the family's 1533-position model. The record is from RNAcentral.
GAUGAACGCUGGCGGCGUGCUUAACACAUGCAGGUCGAACGGAAAGGCCGAAGCUUGCUUCGGUACUCGAGUGGCGAACGGGUGAGUAACACGUGGGUGAUCUGCCCUGUACUUCGGGAUAAGCUUGGGAAACUGGGUCUAAUACCGGAUAUGACAAUCUCUUGGAUGGGGUUGUGGAAAGCUUUUGCGGUAUGGGAUGAGCUCGCGGCCUAUCAGCUUGUUGGUGGGGUAAUGGCCUACCAAGGCGUCGACGGGUAGCCGGCCUGAGAGGGUGUACGGCCACAUUGGGACUGAGAUACGGCCCAGACUCCUACGGGAGGCAGCAGUGGGGAAUAUUGCACAAUGGGCGCAAGCCUGAUGCAGCGACGCCGCGUGGGGGAUGACGGCCUUCGGGUUGUAAACUCCUUUCGCAACCGACGAAGCUUUUGUGACGGUAGGUUGAGAAGAAGCACCGGCUAACUACGUG